UACGUAGGAUGCAAGCGUUGUCCGGAUUUAUUGGGUUUAAAGGGUGCGUAGGCGGCCUAUUAAGUUAGUGGUAAAAACGUUCGGCUUAACCGGAUACCCGCCAUUGAUACUGAUAGACUUGAGUGCGACAGAGGGUGUUGGAAUGUGUGGUGUAGCGGUGAAAUGCUGAGAUAUCACGCAGAACACCAAUGGCGAAGGCAGAUGCCUAUGUCGUAACUGACGCUGAGGCACGAAAGCGUGGGGAGCAAACAGG
Molecule: ribosomal RNA, 253 nt
Filed under: uncultured bacterium
Lineage: Bacteria
Description: partial 16S ribosomal RNA
Rfam family: Bacterial small subunit ribosomal RNA
Source: RNAcentral